Molecule: non-coding RNA, 1485 nt
Organism: Peromyscus maniculatus bairdii (prairie deer mouse)
Lineage: Eukaryota; Metazoa; Chordata; Mammalia; Rodentia; Cricetidae
Source: RefSeq, a predicted model, not a curated record
CUGAUAGGGGAUUCCAGGGUUCCUGGCUACCAGAGGAUGUCCAGCUUCCAGAGGGCAGUGUGGACCAUGACCUGAGAAAAUGUUACUCACGGGAGUUCUGCUAACUCAUGUUAACACAGGGUUGUGAACACAGGGGCCUUUGUAAGGAAGCACACACAUUGAAGCCUGUGUCCUCCCAUCAUGCAAUGGAACUGAGGAGGUGACGUUUUCUUAAGAGAGGAGACUAUCAUCACCAUUAACAAAAGAAGACAGAUUGGGGAAACAGCCUCUGAGGCCACAGUUGAGGGAUGCAGCUGGGCCAAUGGGCAGCAACGACCGAAAUCACUUGAAAGAAAAACAGGCGACAUGAAAUCGGAGACUCCUGGAGAUGCACCACAGAGGUCACCUAACCUGACUCUCUGGCCUGCAAAGCCUCAAAUAAGACGGGUCAAAUCAAAAAGACUUCUUCAGGUCCGUGGGCUUAACGGCAUGGAGAUGACCGCUGAACCCGACAGGAGCUGCUGCAGCAGAUGACGGAAGGAACCACGGCAGAGGUGAUGAUCACGAAGCAGAAAAUGCGGCUGAUCUCAAAAAUGAAAACAACUCAUCUUGAAAGGAGAAAGAGAAUAAAGAGAAAAAGGACUGUAAUGUCAGAGAUUCCUGAAAAUGACAAACUGUAUACCUACCUGCAUGAGAUCCUGAAGGCUUUCAACAAAAGAAAUCUCUGCUUCAACCAUAUAAAAUUCAGCCAAGUGUCUCCGGCUCUGAGAAUUCUCAGCUCGGAAUGUUGGGCCAAAGAAACAAACCACUUCUGGGUGCACUCUACGGAAGCUGCCUUAAACAGCAGGCAACUACAUUUCACUGCAGUAAGAACAAAGUAAAGGAAAAGUAUCCCAGCUCAAGAAACAGAAUUGAGUUAGUAACGACGACGACGACGACGACGACGACGACGACGACGACAACUAGAAUUUCAUGUGGAUAAGAACAAGAAAUUGAAGUUCAUAGUGGUUAAGAAGCUUUCCCACAAGUCUCAGAGUCAAGGCUAGACUCAAGUCCAGAAACACUGUUAUACUACAGCCAACGAUGACAAUAAAACUGUGCUACUAAUCUUCCACAGUCAUGAUGGCUUUUGCAACAAGGCUUAAAAACUGAUUUUUGGCCUUUUGGUUAGAUCAAGUGUAGUACAGCUUAAACCAACCACCAUUUAAAAUAAAACCAGAGAACAAGGCCAUUUCUAAAAUAAGACCCCAAACCAGGUAAGGUCGGGACUGCUGUGAAGAGCCCAGCAGAAAAUAGUCAGCAAUAAAAAACAUUUUGUGUUGCCUUAUGGAGAGAUGAGAGCUAUAUAAGGAAAAUCUUGAGCUUAGAGUAGGUGUUUAAGAUAACAAAAGUACGUUCAAUACACAUCAAUCAAGAUAGCUACAAAAACUGGCUUUUUGGGAAAAAAAAGUGAAAUUAUAGAGAAGGCUCUACAGGGGUCACUUUUUCUCUCAUGGAGUUUUCUGA